GAGCUUUUGAUGUGGAGAAAUGUCUCAUAUGCUAAAAGACAAAAUGAUAACAGCUAUUUUUAGGUGUUUUUUCCUGUCGGUGAGAGCUGACUGAGAGACGUUUUUACCUCUCACUGCCGUAAACUCUGAGUGGACAUCUUCCCCGGGCCUGUCCGCCUCUCUCCUCCGAUGGUACCAGCACUGUGGACGGUAUUGUUUGGCCUCCAUCUCCAUCUCCAUCUCUUUAAUGGCAUAAAGCAGGAUGUUUCCACUGGAGGAGACAGUGACCUGAUAAAGAAGCCACUGUGCUGCGGAGUGAAGGCACGCCGGAUCUGGACAUUUUCUAUUUAUGGCGUUACUGGAGGCUAUUACCAUCAAGACAAGGAAAUGGCGAAAAUACGCACUAUAAAACAAAAUGAUCAUGCAUGCUUUGAACGUGUCAUUCCUUCAAAGAGUCAUAUGUAAUAGACAUGAUAUAAAGAUGAUGAUAGAAAUGUUGGUUGAUGCUAUUGUUGUGCGUAAAUGGCGUCCAGGCCUGGCGUAGUCACUGAUGUUUUUUCCAGUAUGUGUGUGUUUCUUCUUUCAUUCCCUUAAAGCUUCAACUUUCCUCCAUCAGACAGCAGGAUCCCGCUCCUCGUGUUCACGGCGGACCUUGAUUUAUUAGCCAUACAAUUAAGGCACGCGGUGAAUGCCAAGAGAGGAAUCACACACACACACGUUUAUGAGGAUGGAGAGAGAGAGAGAGACAUCAGCAAGAAGAGAAGGAGGAGGACACCUCAUUGUUUUCCUUUCAAAGUUUGUGAUAAUUUGAUAAGUAUGUGAACAACUGUAAACAAUAUACAAACUCCAAAAAAGAGCAAUAAAAAUAGUAAAUUAAAGUACCUACAGAGAACCAUCAAACCCACUCUUCAUCAAACUUCUUUUUUAUUGUGGUCCUAAAUCUACAUCAAUGAUUUCUUUGGAUGAUCCAAUGACUAUUCUAUAAUUCUACUAUUCUAUCAUUAUUCUAACAAAGUAAUAAAAAUAACAAAAACAGCCUGUGAUACAAACAGGCAGGCAACAGCAGCACAACUAGCAUUGGUUUCUAGCAUAAAUUCCCAGCCAAAUUGAAGAUAAUUUCCGAAUCAAGGAAAAAAACGUUGUAAAACUGAAAAAAGAAUUAAUGUUAACUUUACUUUUCGGAUUGAAACAACGUUUGUUGGAUUAUGAAGAAGUGCGAAGAAUCUCUAUGGAAGAUGUCCCACUGAUAAUCUGAAAUCGCUAACCCCAAGAGUGGCAUCAAUGUGAAUUCCUCCUAUUUUAAAUGGAUUUUAUUUCAUUUAAGUUUUAUAUACUUUUCGCAUUGCCUGUCUGGUACAGUGUAACUAAGAGCUAUGACAGGAAAACUGUGACAGAGCUUGCUCAAAGCUAUGAAGAUAAAUACAUGAUGGUUAUUUAAAAAAGCUAUUUCUGGAUUAAAAGAUUAUCAAUUUAUUUCUGAAAAAUUGUGUUUUUAAAUUUUAUUUGUGAACAAUUCUUUUAUCAAAAUAAGAAAAAUUAAUGCAUUUCACUCGUCCUUUGAGUUUGGCAAGAAAUGUGAUUGAUAUAUCGGUAAAAACAAAUGCUAAGGCUAAUAGUAAUUUAACAGAAAUAUGGCAAUUGUUAGCCGUUUUUAAACAACAAUACAUCCUUUAUUUUGAAAAGUUUUCCAAAAUGAACGUGAAAAAGACAGCCUUUGUGCCGGGUAUUUUCCUCUGUUUUGUUUCUAUCUAAUGUUUACUUCCCCUUCACCGGAUAUCCGCUUGUUCACGUGACUCAGAGCCACGCCCCCGCUGUUAAUUACGCGCAGGUGUGCAGCAGGUGAAAACGCAAACAGAAAUCGUGUCAACAUUUAUAUCAAAAUACUAAAAAGCAGAGAAAAUGAGAGCGAUGUAAAAGGAGGACAACAUAUUCCGAAUCACGGCGCAUCGUAACUUUUGAGGUGAGUAAAAGAGAAGUGAGCAGAAACACGAAAACUCUAAUUGGAUAAUGUUAAUGCUAACGCUUAUGCUAACAGGCUUGUCGCUAACCGUUCCGUCCCCAAAAACCCGAUUUGUACUGCGCAUGUGCGAAAGUAAACGGUCAAUCUUUCCCAUCUUUUACUAAUCUCUUUUAAUAUUUUGGAGCUGUAAACCAACUACAGUGAAAUUUCUGUGGCUGAAGUCUUAUUAAACUUUAUGUUAACUCAAUGGAAAACACCUCAUAAGUUUAGUCUGUGGAAAAAAAAGCUUUAUGAAUAAAUUUUUGUUUACAAAUAUAUAUACACAGUUUGUUCCACCCACAAUAUUUCAUAGAUAUUCAUUAUUACUGAACUAAAAAACAGGUAAGAGUGUGCAGGAAUAUAUAGCUUUAAUACAACAAAAAUAAAGAAGAGAACUGUGUGUCUGUUAAAGUUGUUAAAAGUUGUAUUUUUCUCUCUUGCAGAUCUGUGGACAUGAUGGACGCCACGCUGGAAGAAGAGGGACAGAGCGGUCAUCUUCCCUGAGCUGAAGCUCUAAGGUAAGAGGGUUUUCUUUGUAUCACAACUGUAGUUUCAUGUUGCAACGCUGAGAUUUAACAGCUGAGAGUUUAGCUGGUUUUUAGGUUUGGUUCUAGUUUGACUGUAGAGAAAAUUAUCUGACACUGUUACUCACAAAAACCUCUCUGCAGCCUCAAUAGUAUCACACUGAAGGUUUCAACAUGAUCUAAAGGAGCCAAGACUCCGGGUUUAUGUUUAUUAAUGUUAAAUAAAUUCUCUUUAGCUCCACCAGGCUGAAGAAAAGGCUGUUUGAUUGGAAUAUUUGGAAACCACAUAAAUAUCAACAAAAUUAAACAAUUAGUCUUCAAGUUAAAAAGCAGUAACAUUAUGCUAACAACAAUAAGAAAUUUUCAUCUUUAAUUCUAGCUGUAAACUCCGGUGGUUUCUAAAAAGAAAACCAAAUAAAACUCAAUCAAAUAUAAUUGUUCACUAGAGGGCGCUGUUUCUAAACAAAACUGCCCUGCUAUAAAUAAUGCCUGUAUUAUUCCACUUAAUUUAUAAUAAAAAUCACAUACCAACACAUGCUAUAAGUCUUUAUCAAUAUAUAAAUGGAUAAUUCAAUAAAUUAGUACACCUUUGUAUCUGACAGAAACAUACUUGUAGUAUAAAAAUGUGACAUGUUAUUCUUGAAGCAGUUAGUGGACUUUAUGUACUGUCGGCCUACAGUUUUGUAAGAACGAUUGAAAAAGGAGUGAAUCCAAAUAGAUUAUUUUUCAUCUUCAUAAUUUUAUAAUCCACUCACAAAGAACUCUACAAAGAAAUAUAAGCUUUAAGUCCAAGUCCAGAGUAGUGUUGUAUCAGUAGAUUGUGACUUAAAAGUCCUGGUUUAAUCAUUCAUAGAUAUUCAUAGACUUAUAUCAGCUUCUCUGGCAGUCAUGUAAAUGUAAGUGCAGAUGGAUCUUAAGAACAAAUUCAGGAAAACUUUUCAUUUAUUUUUACUGUUUCAAAAGACAUUGCGGUAAAAAAAACCUUCUUGAUCAGUGAAGUAGCCUGAGAGCUUCUCUCAGCUCUCACCACAGUCCAGUUUUGACAUCCUCAGCUCAGAUUUUUGUCUUUUGUUGGGUUUAAUGUGACAAACUAAUUGUCUCCCUUCUUUUCUUUCAGGACUCAUCGCCAGCAGAUCCUGGAGUUUGGGGGGGCCUCCUCCUCCUCCCCUCAACCCUCUUCCUCCUGUGUCUCCCUAAUGAUGUUUUAGUUUUAUUCCUGGUUCAAGUGGUAGUUCAGUUUAGAGUCUGAAUUUAUUAUUUCACCUUUUCACAGAGUGUUAGAGACUUAAGUGACGAUUAAAGUGAAGAUUUGAGACACUUCAAUUAUUUACUUAAAAGCUUUUAGGUAUCAUUAGUCUGCAGUUAAUAUAAAACAGUUCAGAUUGAAUCAUUUUCUAGUUGAAGUUAUCCAUAGUCUUUAAAUCUUUGCUUUUGAAUCAAGAUGUUGGUGCAUUUAUGUGAUGUCUGGCAUUUCCAGGGAGGGUCUGAUGAAAAUAAAGAGACACAGAAUCACA
RNAcentral lists this long non-coding RNA (4016 nucleotides) under Xyrichtys novacula (pearly razorfish). The stretch from base 608 to 679 matches the Rfam family "mir-124 microRNA precursor family". The record is from RNAcentral. Lineage: Eukaryota; Metazoa; Chordata; Actinopteri; Labriformes; Labridae.